GUGCUCACUUUGGCAGCACAUAUAGUAAAAUUGGAAUGAUCAGAGAUUAGCAUGGCCCCUGUGCAAGGAUGGCAUGCAAAUUCGUAAAGCGUUCCAUAUUUUU
This is a small nuclear RNA of Suncus etruscus (white-toothed pygmy shrew), 103 nucleotides long. NCBI's taxonomy places the organism in Eukaryota, Metazoa, Chordata, Mammalia, Eulipotyphla, Soricidae. The record is from RefSeq and is a predicted model, not a curated record.